This 253-nucleotide ribosomal RNA is filed under the name uncultured bacterium. Its description in RNAcentral is "partial 16S ribosomal RNA". It matches the Rfam family "Bacterial small subunit ribosomal RNA", at positions 524 to 776 of the family's 1533-position model. The record is from RNAcentral.
UACAGAGGUCUCAAGCGUUGUUCGGAUUCAUUGGGCGUAAAGGGUGCGUAGGCGGCGCGGUAAGUCGGGUGUGAAAUCUCGGAGCUUAACUCCGAAACUGCAUUCGAUACUGCCGUGCUUGAGGACUGGAGAGGAGACUGGAAUUUACGGUGUAGAGGUGAAAUUCGUAGAUAUCGAGAGGAACACCGGUGGCGAAGGCGGCCUUCUGGACAGUGACUGACGCUGAGACGCGAAAGCGUGGGGAGCAAACAGG